Zea mays is the source of this 588-nucleotide long non-coding RNA. RefSeq lists it as uncharacterized. The transcript has 3 exons. The record is from RefSeq and is a predicted model, not a curated record. Lineage: Eukaryota; Viridiplantae; Streptophyta; Magnoliopsida; Poales; Poaceae.
UCCUCGCCCUCUCAUCCGGUCGUUGACCCAAUCUCCACUGCUCCCUCCCUGCCUCUCUCGCUCUUUUCCUUCCCCAUCUGUUCAACCAUCCACACGCAUCCGCCGUCGCACUUCGCAGCGCCAGCAUCCGGUCAGUGGCUGUGUAGAUCUGGGCCUCCAAGUGCGGAUCCAAUCCUACCUUCUCUGGAUUUGUUGUCCUCUCUCUCAAGUGGGCUUCGUCUUGCCGCCGUUCUCCUCCCCGAGCUCUUCAGCGCCGUGGACAGGGAGGGCACGACCUGCAGCGUGUGGAAGAAGAGGAGGAUGGGGCGGGUUCUUGGAAAAUGACCAGAGUCGUUUCCAGGGCGGAUUUCAACACGAUUUUGCACCGUCUAUCGCAGAUCAUCUCCAAGAAAAAGAACCGUGGCAAUAUAUGUCUUUACGACUUCCAUGGAACGAACAUAGGUGUUCGGACAAAAACAUAUCAAAAUGUUAUCUCCCAAAACACUUUUCUGUGCAAAAGGAGGAGCUAAACAUGUCUACACGGUCGAAUGUUCCUAGAUGGCAGACAUGGUAAAGAAAUUUGUGAAAUCAAAUGGAUAUUUUGAUGGU